AUUUCUGUGAUGCCCUUAGAUGUUCUGGGCUGCACGCGUGUUACACUGAAGGGAUCAGCGUGUCCUCCCUGGCCGAGAGGUCCGGGUAACCCGCUGAACCCCCUUCGUGGUAGGGAUCGGAGCUUGCAAUUAUUCUCCGUGAACCAGGAAUGCCCAGUAAGCGCAAGUCAUAAGCUUGCGUUGAUUACGUCCCUGCCCUUUGUACACACCGCAAU
RNAcentral lists this ribosomal RNA (215 nucleotides) under uncultured eukaryote. RNAcentral describes it as "partial 18S ribosomal RNA". It matches the Rfam family "Eukaryotic small subunit ribosomal RNA", at positions 1458 to 1676 of the family's 1831-position model. The record is from RNAcentral.